AGAACGAACGCUGGCGGCAUGCCUAACACAUGCAAGUCGAACGAGACCUUCGGGUCUAGUGGCGCACGGGUGCGUAACGCGUGGGAAUCUGCCCUUGGGUACGGAAUAACAGUUAGAAAUGACUGCUAAUACCGUAUAAUGACGUAAGUCCAAAGAUUUAUCGCCCAGGGAUGAGCCCGCGUAGGAUUAGCUUGUUGGUGAGGUAAAGGCUCACCAAGGCGACGAUCCUUAGCUGGUCUGAGAGGAUGAUCAGCCACACUGGGACUGAGACACGGCCCAGACUCCUACGGGAGGCAGCAGUGGGAAUAUUGGACAAUGGGCGAAAGCCUGAUCCAGCAAUGCCGCGUGAGUGAUGAAGGCCUUAGGGUUGUAAAGCUCUUUUACCCGGGAUGAUAAUGACAGUACCGGAGAAUAAGCUCCGGCUAACUCCGUGCCAGCAGCCGC
This 444-nucleotide ribosomal RNA is filed under the name uncultured bacterium. RNAcentral describes it as "SSU rRNA". It matches the Rfam family "Bacterial small subunit ribosomal RNA", at positions 26 to 518 of the family's 1533-position model. The record is from RNAcentral.